GACGAACGCUGGCGGCGUGCUUAACACAUGCAAGUCGAACGGAAAGGCCCUGCUUUUGUGGGGUGCUCGAGUGGCGAACGGGUGAGUAACACGUGAGUAACCUGCCCUUGACUUUGGGAUAACUUCAGGAAACUGGGGCUAAUACCGGAUAGGAGCUCCUGCUGCAUGGUGGGGGUUGGAAAGUUUCGGCGGUUGGGGAUGGACUCGCGGCUUAUCAGCUUGUUGGUGGGGUAGUGGCUUACCAAGGCUUUGACGGGUAGCCGGCCUGAGAGGGUGACCGGCCACAUUGGGACUGAGAUACGGCCCAGACUCCUACGGGAGGCAGCAGUGGGGAAUAUUGCACAAUGGGCGGAAGCCUGAUGCAGCAACGCCGCGUGCGGGAUGACGGCCUUCGGGUUGUAAACCGCUUUCGCCUGUGACGAAGCGUGAGUGACGGUAAUGGGUAAAGAAGCACCGGCUAACUACGUGCCAGCAGCCGCGGUGAUACGUAGGGUGCGAGCGUUGUCCGGAUUUAUUGGGCGUAAAGGGCUCGUAGGUGGUUGAUCGCGUCGGAAGUGUAAUCUUGGGGCUUAACCCUGAGCGUGCUUUCGAUACGGGUUGACUUGAGGAAGGUAGGGGAGAAUGGAAUUCCUGGUGGAGCGGUGGAAUGCGCAGAUAUCAGGAGGAACACCAGUGGCGAAGGCGGUUCUCUGGGCCUUUCCUGACGCUGAGGAGCGAAAGCGUGGGGAGCGAACAGGCUUAGAUACCCCGGUAGUCCACGCUGUAAACGGUGGGUACUAGGUGUGGGGUCCAUUCCACGGGUUCCGUGCCGUAGCUAACGCUUUAAGUACCCCGCCCGGGGAGUACGGCCGCAAGGCUAAAACUCAAAGGAAUUGACGGGGCCCCGCACAAGCGGCGGAGCAUGCGGAUUAAUUCGAUGCAACGCGUAGAACCUUACCUGGGUUUGACAUGGAUCGGGAGUGCUCAGAGAUGGGUGUGCCUCUUUUGGGGUCGGUUCACAGGUGGUGCAUGGCUGUCGUCAGCUCGUGUCGUGAGAUGUUGGGUUAAGUCCCGCAACGAGCGCAACCCUUGUUCACUGUUGCCAGCACGUUAUGGUGGGGACUCAGUGGAGACCGCCGGGGUCAACUCGGAGGAAGGUGGGGAUGACGUCAAGUCAUCAUGCCCCUUAUGUCCAGGGCUUCACGCAUGCUACAAUGGCUGGUACAGAGAGUGGCGAGCCUGUGAGGGUGAGCGAAUCUCGGAAAGCCGGUCUCAGUUCGGAUUGGGGUCUGCAACUCGACCUCAUGAAGUCGGAGUCGCUAGUAAUCGCAGAUCAGCAACGCUGCGGUGAAUACGUUCCCGGG
This 1343-nucleotide ribosomal RNA is filed under the name uncultured bacterium. Its description in RNAcentral is "16S ribosomal RNA". It matches the Rfam family "Bacterial small subunit ribosomal RNA", at positions 28 to 1378 of the family's 1533-position model. The record is from RNAcentral.